UGCAGAGGAAGCCUACGACUUAGAAAU
This 27-nucleotide non-coding RNA is filed under the name Rattus norvegicus (Norway rat). Lineage: Eukaryota; Metazoa; Chordata; Mammalia; Rodentia; Muridae. The record is from RNAcentral.